RNAcentral lists this ribosomal RNA (500 nucleotides) under Vibrio sp. Its description in RNAcentral is "bacterial SSU rRNA". It matches the Rfam family "Bacterial small subunit ribosomal RNA", at positions 386 to 878 of the family's 1533-position model. The record is from RNAcentral. Lineage: Bacteria; Pseudomonadati; Pseudomonadota; Gammaproteobacteria; Vibrionales; Vibrionaceae.
AUGCAGCCAUGCCGCGUGUAUGAAGAAGGCCUUCGGGUUGUAAAGUACUUUCAGCAGUGAGGAAGGUGGUAGUGUUAAUAGCACUAUCAUUUGACGUUAGCUGCAGAAGAAGCACCGGCUAACUCCGUGCCAGCAGCCGCGGUAAUACGGAGGGUGCGAGCGUUAAUCGGAAUUACUGGGCGUAAAGCGCAUGCAGGUGGUUUGUUAAGUCAGAUGUGAAAGCCCGGGGCUCAACCUCGGAAUUGCAUUUGAAACUGGCAGACUAGAGUACUGUAGAGGGGGGUAGAAUUUCAGGUGUAGCGGUGAAAUGCGUAGAGAUCUGAAGGAAUACCGGUGGCGAAGGCGGCCCCCUGGACAGAUACUGACACUCAGAUGCGAAAGCGUGGGGAGCAAACAGGAUUAGAUACCCUGGUAGUCCACGCCGUAAACGAUGUCUACUUGGAGGUUGUGGCCUUGAGCCGUGGCUUUCGGAGCUAACGCGUUAAGUAGACCGCCUGGGG